AAGCGUGCGCAGGCGGUUAUGUAAGACAGAUGUGAAAUCCCCGGGCUCAACCUGGGAACUGCAUUUGUGACUGCAUGGCUAGAGUACGGUAGAGGGGGAUGGAAUUCCGCGUGUAGCAGUGAAAUGCGUAGAUAUGCGGAGGAACACCGAUGGCGAAGGCAAUCCCCUCGGACCUGUACUGACGCUCAUGCACGAAAGCGUGGGGAGCAAACAGGAUUAGAUACCCCAGU
Molecule: ribosomal RNA, 230 nt
Filed under: uncultured bacterium
Lineage: Bacteria
Description: partial 16S ribosomal RNA
Rfam family: Bacterial small subunit ribosomal RNA
Source: RNAcentral